GUGGGCGCUGGCGCCGCGGCGUUGGCUGAAACCUUGACCAGGGCUGGAGGGAAGGGCCGAUAUUCAGUGUGUCCGCGUCUGGUCUGUCUGUGCCAUAGGGAUUCUCGAAGAGAACAGCGUUGUGUCCCAGUGCACAUGCUCGCAUCGCUUACCAGGAGUGCCUGAGACCCUAAGAUGUUCGGAGUGGUUUUUUCGCACAGACCCGAAUAGCCUGCCGCUCAGCCACGCUCUGUGCCCUUCUGAGAACAGGCUGAUAUGCCCAAGAUAGUCCUGAAUGGUGUGACCGUAGACUUCCCUUUCCAGCCCUACAAAUGCCAACAGGAGUACAUGACCAAGGUCCUGGAAUGUCUGCAGCAGAAGGUGAAUGGCAUCCUGGAGAGCCCUACGGGUACAGGGAAGACGCUGUGCCUGUUGUGCACCACGCUGGCCUGGCGAGAACACCUCCGAGAUGGCAUCUCUGCCCGCAAGAUUGCCGAGAGGGCGCAAGGAGAGCUUUUCCCGGAUCGGGCCUUGUCAUCCUGGGGCAACGCUGCUGCUGCUGCUGGAGACCCCAUAGAUUCUUGGCUGUCUGCAGGGCCGAGUUAGCCGAAUGCCACCUGCCUUUGAUACGUGAGCACGUUGUCUGAGAACCAUGACUUCUGUGCUUGCUUGUGUCUGGUCAGCUUGCUAC
This 670-nucleotide small RNA is filed under the name Pan troglodytes (chimpanzee). Its description in RNAcentral is "processed transcript". Lineage: Eukaryota; Metazoa; Chordata; Mammalia; Primates; Hominidae. The record is from RNAcentral.